ACCCGCCUGGAUUAAGCAUAUCAAUAAGCGGAGGAAAAGAAACCAACAGGGAUUGCCCUAGUAACGGCGAGUGAAGCGGCAACAGCUCAAAUUUGAAAUCUGGCGUCUUUGGCGUCCGAGUUGUAAUUUGCAGAGGGCGCUUUGGCAUUGGCAGCGGUCCAAGUUCCUUGGAACAGGACGUCACAGAGGGUGAGAAUCCCGUACGUGGUCGCUAGCCUUUACCGUGUAAAGCCCCUUCGACGAGUCGAGUUGUUUGGGAAUGCAGCUCUAAAUGGGAGGUAAAUUUCUUCUAAAGCUAAAUACUGGCCAGAGACCGAUAGCGCACAAGUAGAGUGAUCGAAAGAUGAAAAGCACUUUGGAAAGAGAGUUAAAAAGCACGUGAAAUUGUUGAAAGGGAAGCGCUUGCAGCCAGACUUGCCUGUAGUUGCUCAUCCGGGUUUUUACCCGGUGCACUCUUCUACGGGCAGGCCAGCAUCAGUUUGGGCGGUUGGAUAAAGGUCUCUGUCAUGUACCUCCUCUCGGGGAGAACUUAUAGGGGAGACGACAUGCAACCAGCCCGGACUGAGGUCCGCGCAUCUGCUAGGAUGCUGGCGUAAUGGCUGUAAGCGGCCCGUCUUGAAACACGGACCAAGGAGUCUAACAUCUAUGC
This 649-nucleotide ribosomal RNA is filed under the name Didymosphaeria futilis. RNAcentral's name for it is "LSU rRNA". It matches the Rfam family "Eukaryotic large subunit ribosomal RNA", at positions 23 to 687 of the family's 3401-position model. The record is from RNAcentral. Lineage: Eukaryota; Fungi; Ascomycota; Dothideomycetes; Pleosporales; Didymosphaeriaceae.